Molecule: long non-coding RNA, 6890 nt
Organism: Columba livia (rock pigeon)
Lineage: Eukaryota; Metazoa; Chordata; Aves; Columbiformes; Columbidae
Exons: 5
Source: RefSeq, a predicted model, not a curated record
CUUUGUAUGCCACCCUUCCACUUUUCAGUCUGCUUGUCUCACAACAGAUUUGUAAUUUUUGCAGUUUGUUCCAUCUGGGUUUUUUUCUCAGUGAUUUAAAUAGCUGGUUUAAUUCAAGCUGCUAAAGGAACUUCUCAAAUAAUAUUCUCUGCUUUCCACAGCUGAAUGUUAAAAGGACACAUUUGUAAGUCCGUAAGCUACAUCUGAGAUGAGUUGGAGAUCUUCAGUACACAAAAAUCACUGCAAGUUUUUAUGAACAGCUCCCACCCCCUGCUUCUUGUUUCACCAGUCGAAGGAGAACAUGCCAACUCUAACAGCACUGUCUGAGGAAAAGGAAAAUUAACAUCAGCUUUGCUUUUGUGCAUUCAGGACCUGAUCCAAGAACGCCACUCAUGUGAAUGUGUUUUAAGACAAAAAUAUUAUUCUGAGGAAGUUAUAACACAUUGUCCUGGCCUCAGGCUGGAGACAGCAAGUGUUCUGCCCAUCCUAAGAGUUUCUAUCUCAUUUGGCCCUGUGAAGAAUUUGAUAGCUACUUACCCUGUGAAGAAAGAACAAAGUAUGCUGAAGGUGGAAGAGGGGAAAAUACAGGACAAAGGGCUGCUUCUCUCUGUUGUCUAGCCUGCCAAGGGGCACAGUCAGGAGAAUGUGACUGGAAUGUGACUCGUCUUCCCAGCUUCAGAAUGGAAAAUAAAGGUAGAUCUGGAUGCAGAAGCAUAAGAAGAUGAAAUAGUUUUUCCCUUCUUUCUUUUCCUUUUCUCAAGCAUGUAGUCUCCUUGAACUGAAGGACUGAUGUUUUUAUCUCCAUUUUCCCCUCCACUCCAUCAUGCAAAGAGUUAUUCCAAAAUCACUUGGCAGCCGCAAGACAAGCUAUUUCCUAACCCUCAAAAUAACUCUUGUUUUGAAUAGUUCCCAACUCCUUAAAAAUGCAUCCACAUGUAUGUGUGUUCUGCAUGGGAAAGAAAACUUAUGGUAGAAAUAAAUACUCACCGUUAAUGAAUGCUAAAAUCCUGUUACAAUCAUUAUUAAAUUCGGACUGUUUCUGUGUGUAGAGUCCUAGGCAUUAACCAAUAUGGAUUUGUGAUAUAAAUUAUACAAGCACUAAGGUAAAUUAGCAAUCCAGAUCCCAAAUUCCUGCCACCUAGACAGAAAGGGUGGGUCUGUUAGACCCCCAAGUUCAAGCAGCGAAGGGAAUAUUUUUCCUUUCUACAGCCUGAAAAGGCCAGUUUAACACUUCUAGCUGGCAGCCAUGUAAACAGAAACAGGAAGGCUGACCUAUACAAUACAAAACAAUGUAAUGGGGUUGAAGUUUGCCCAGUUUUGCUCGACAGCCUUGCUUCACUGAGGGUCAGUGCAUGUUGUUGAACACUUCUCUUACAGUUCAUAUGCUUGUGGACUGCUUGAGCACAGGCUUGCCAGGAGGCUUCUUCCUAGCAUUGGUCAAGAUUAACCUUAGUAACUUCAUUUACACUAUAGCUGCAUCCACUCCCUGCUACUUUCAUGAAACUGGAGACAAUUUUGGUAUUCACCUCUGAAAACUCAUAAAAGACAUUACAGCAGAAGAAAUGAUACCAGUAAAGUUGACCUCGGAAAAGACAUCUAUACUUGGUGAAAAUCAGGCAUUAGCAAAUAAGGCCAGCUUUUUUGAAUCUAUGUAUAGCAUUUCUUUUCCAAAGAACAAAAGUUAUGGAUAACCUUACCAGUAUUUACAUAGUAGAAAACGUCUCCCCUCUUCAGGACAGUAAUGGAGAUAUUAAUUGCUAGAGAAUGAUGACAUGAUAAAAACAUUCUGAAAGUGCACAUUUCUCAACUAGUUAUUGUCUACUUUUUAACCUAUCACCUUCUGCUUGAAGACACCCUGGGGGAGAAAAUAAAGCUGUUGUUGCUCUUAUUCAUCUGGGUUUGUUACUAUCUGAGUCCUAUCACCCUCUUCCCCUUUGUGAAUCCUGAAGAAUUUGAAGAACUCCACACUGCUCAAGAAGAGAGAGGCUUCCACGUGUUGGGGUCCCAUUCACAUGCACAUUUGAAAAUUAGCCUUAUUGCUGAUUUCAGCAGAUCUCCAGCAUACAGACUGCUUGUUUCUGCUUAGCUGCUUGCAGUUCACUGAUAAAUAAAAUGUACUCAUAUUAUGUGAAUGCUAAUGACUUGGUAAGGCCAGUUCAAAUUAAAAUGUGAUAGAAAGUAGAGUUAACUAAAUAAAAUAAAGAGCCAGGAAAAGCAGUAAGUGAUAAGCAAGUGUUUGACUGUGAUGCAUCACUGAACUGGAAAAGUUGAACCAUUUGACCUCUGGAGGUCUGUUCCAACCUGAAUUAUCCCAUGAUCCUAAAAAUGUCUGGUUUUCUCAUCCUGUAGUAUUGUCUCCAAAAUAAAAUGCCCAUUUAAUGUGUUCUUUUUCAGCACCUCUGCUUGCUCUUGUCUUGCUUCCCAGCACUGCAAGUACAGCAGUAAAACCAUUCUGCUUUCUGCACAUAACUUGGGCAAGGAUUCGAUACUUAAAGAAGAUAACAGAUUUGAUGAAGAAAUUCAGAAACACAAAACUGACAAAUGAAAUAAACAAGUUUAUCUUAUUUCCUGCAUAGAAGCAUAAAAAGCAAGGUUUCAAAGGAAACAACUUUAAAGCAACAGAACAUGUAAGAACAUGUGAUUUAAAUGAGUUUACGAAGUAAAAUUUAAAUAUAGAAUUUUAUGUUGGCUGGACGAUAUCUGCUCAGUUCUUUAGAGGUUCUGGGCCAUUUUGUUCAAUGACAGAAAUUAUUUAACUUCUUUAAUAAUUUUAUUAUGUUAGUUAAACAAACUGAAAUAUAACAAAAUAGAUAAAAAGAACAAAAAGAAAAGCCCAACAACUUAAAUCCAUCAACACCCAGCAAAGCAGCCCCAGACUAUCACUCAGUCUGGGCCAGUAAAACUAACAUCAAAAUAAAUUAGGAAUUAAGCAAUGUAACUGUCAAAUCAAGACCAGGCAAAUUACCAGUCUCCCUUCUUUGAACUCUCUUCUGGUUAUGAUGAUUUUACCCCCUGGAACCACAUCAAGCAGUGGUAUUACACAACAGACACUAGGAGAGUGCUCUUGAUGAGCAGAAGUUGGCAACUUUUCUUUCCCAGAAGCUGUCUUUUCAGAACUCCAUGGUCUUAAUAUAAGGAUUUCAGUCCUUCUUAACUUGUGAAGUGUAUCUUACAGAUACAGGGCUAAGGAACUCAAAAGCAUCAUGAUGAGGCAUGAGAAGGCAACAGCAUGUUGUGAGUGAGGGGCAGGCUGAGCUUUCUCUGGUGAAUGCUUAGAAUGGUUUCAAAUGCAUUGAGAGAUAAUUCAGCCAUGGACAUAGGUCCUUUCGAGGUCCAGCUGUGUUAAGGGAGAUGGGAUCUGCCCUUGUUGUCUUCCAGGUGCUCAUCACUGUUCUUCUGCUGGAAGGCAUGCUUCUUUCAGAUAUUCUGGUGCUCCAUCUUGUGUGAGUACUUCCCAUGAAACAGGCUAAGUUAGCAAUAACAUAUAUGUGAAACUAUAUGUUUUAUUUUGGCUAUCCUAAGUAGUUCUAGGUGAGAAGAAUUCACUGGACAGCCUGGUAGCAGUGGUAUGAUGGCAAGGACUUAGGACUAGGUUGGAACUGUCAUCUCUGUAGGGAGCAGCUGAAGCUGGUCCGAGGCUGAAGGAGGAGUGUCUGAAGUAUUAUCUGUUGUGAUGGGAACUUUGACCCUCAUACAGACCUGUAGCAAUUCCAUAACAAAAAUUAAAGUGUUUAAAAAGACUGGGAGAUUUCCCAGCUACAGAUAAAUCAACAUCUAAAAAGAAAUCCAGAAGACAAAACAAAAAGGAAGGAAAAAUAUGCAGUUCAUGAACUCCAGCUUUCACAGCAGUUGAUAUUCUCUUAGAAUAUCUCUUGGAGCUUUAUUCGAAAAAGAGACAAUGCUGGCAAGUUCCUACUAGUAGUGGACCCACCACAAGUGAGGAAAGAUUGGGCAGCUGUUGGCAUAGUUUCUUUAGUGAAAUCCUGAAGUUCUUUUCCCCAGGAGGCACAUGGAAAGAUUGAGUGACAGAAGCGUUUCUCCGGUAUGGGCCUUCUUGGCCUUACUUGAUCUUCCUCCAGACCUAUGAACAAAUCAGUUCCAAUGGGACAACAUGGGAGCUACGCAACUGUAUUUAAUUGGGUUCAAGUGUGAUUUCCUUGUUUAUUGCCUAUUUUGGGUAAAUUCCCACCAAACCAAAACUUUUCUCUCCUUGUAUCAGAGCACGUGUCUGUGAUCUUCCCCUCCAAAUACCAAAAAUGUAGACACUGAACACCCGCAUUCCUGAAGAAGCCAAGAUGGUUUUAUCUGAGUGACAAGGUCCAGGGAUGAUAGUACAUUGCCAGGUUAUGCAAGGUCCAGUUCACAUAUCCAAUUAAAAAGUGGGCUUUUGACAACAACUGACCACAUUUAUCAGUGGAGAUAAAAGUUAGUGAACCAGAGAGCUGACAAUCAUCUUUCCAUGCGGAAGGCAGAAUUGCAUCAGACAACUGAUCUGGAGUCUCAGUACAGAAAUGCUGCUUUAAAAUUUCUAAGAUGAAACGCAGUUAAGUAAAUUUAUCUCACCCUAGUGUAUUAUUGCUCUCAUCAUGCGUGAGGUUCAUUUCCUCUCCUGGAAUUCUGAUGUGCAGCAGCAGGUUACACAGCCCUGGCUUCCACGAACCCCUUGGCUUCACUUAGGAUACACAUCUUCAUUUUCAACAAUGUUGUCAUGUUUCUUCCUAAUCCAGGCCACUGUGUCUGCUUACUAACUAAUAGGAGGUAUUUCCUCAGGACAGUUCUUGUCUUCAUUAGUAUGUUUGCUGGUUUAUCUCAGACCUGCCAAAAUAAAGAAUGCAUAAUAAGUUUCAGAAUAAAAGCCCUGCACUUUUUUAAACUUCAUCCUUAUAAUGAAGAAGUGAUGUCUAGGUUUUUGACCUCUUAUGUUCUCUUUCGGAGGCACAGUUUGAACAUGCCAAGAACCGGAAACAAUGCAGUCAUUAACUAAUUAAGAUUUAGUAACUUCAGACCAUGAACAAGCUCAAAAUAUUACUUGGCCCUUUUGUGCCUGUCUUCCCUUCCAGGUGCCACGCUUCUGUUGUGUGCCCAACAACUGAAUGGGUCAGGCCAAAAUUUAGUCCUUAGCAACCUCAAUAAAGGGUCCAUGGCAAAGACCCAUGUGGAUAACAUGAUAGGCAGCAUUUAAUCUUUCAAAUGCUAAAGCUGGUACAGCCACACUAUGUAAUAACAAAGUACUGUUAAACUAAAAACCGUCAAUGAGAAAACUGAGAGUAACUGGGACAUAGGGAGUUUUAAUGAAAAAACUUUGAAAUAAGCUGCGACAGAUCAGUCCUGUAGUCCUUUUCUAAAAGGCACUCGUCCCACAGCCAACGGAAAUGUUACCUGAUGGAGGAUUGUGCACUCUAGUAUGACAUCAGCAGCGUUCUUGGUAUUUAUAGUCCUGUAAAUUAUGGAUAUGUAGACAUUUAUCUUUCCUGGAGCAGAUUCAAACCUGGCGUAAGCUCGCUAGGCUUGCAGCUGGGUAGACUUGGCCCUUUUUCUCCUACACAGAUCCUACUCCAGAAAGGCAGUUAACUCUUUAGGACAAGAAUAAUCUGAUUAUUUUUGCUGAAACCUGUGCGUUUGAGUUUAGGCAUGUGUUAGACUUAAAGGGCCCUUGACAAGGAUGUGAUUGUUCAGUUUACUCUUACUGAUAAAUAAAAAUAUAAUUGUAUCUGAAUCUUUCAGCUUUGGAUGCAACCAUUUUCUUUCUCCUUCAAACUGAUACUACCACACAAGAACAGCUAGAUGUCUCACUAGAACAAACUCUGAAAAAUUUUCUUUUCCCAACUAAGAUCAGUUAUAGACUCUGUUACUAACUAUAUUUUUCCCCAAUUCACAGCUUCAAGAUUCAGAACAUUUUAAAACAAACAAACAAACAAACCAGUCACCAAGAGAGCUUGUUGGAUAGGGUAAAAAAUAAGUGCUGCCUGACUUCAAUGUAGAUUGUUCUGAAAAAAAAAUACAUAGGGAUAAAUCACCUAUUGUUAUCUGGAUCGUUUGCUUCAGUCCAUUCUGUACAGCAUGUAACACAAGGAAGUGAAAAUCUCUCUGAAAAGAGAGCAGUUACUAUUUUAUGUGAAGCUUCAUGCACUCAUGAUUGUUCUCAGAAAACUUUGUUGUAGAAAGACUGGAGCUUUCCAUCUUUCUGUUGACUGCAAUCAGUAUUGCGUUUGGUUCUAAACAAUGGGUGCUAUUAUGUUACUUCUUUACAAGCUAUCCAGCUUGCUCUUAUUAACCUUUAAGAAAUAAAUACGCGGGCAUUAAACAACCUCACAACCUUGAGAAGUGAUUCGCCCCCAGAGAGUCAAGCUUUAGGAUGGAUAAUGAAUAAAGAGCUUAUCAGAAUCUUUGUAACUUAUUAGAAACAUUCUCCAGAUUACCUAUAAAAUUCAUUAGAGACUAAUGACCUGCACUGAAGCCUGAUAAGACAGAAGCUCAGGAAAGAGUUGAGAAAAACAUGAUCUAUCAGAGUCAUGGAAGUCAAGGGUUUGGAGUAAAAGAAUACUAAGUCUGUAAAUAGAGAGCAUUUCUGUUUGGAAAAAAUAGUGAAAGGGGGGAAAAAAGAAAAGGUUUUCUCACGGGGUACAGAAAAAAUCUUAGAAUUAUUAAUGCUGCAGAUAUUAAAGGUGAGAGCUUCAGCACCAAAUGAUAUACUCUGUAGGCUAUAUCUAUGUUGCUGAGUAAAAGAAAGUAAGGAAUCCAAGAAGUAUGCACAAAUUUGUGUCUGCCCUGCCCAGGCCUUGCUUGCUCUGGAUUAGAUGGACCACAUCCACGUGUCAUAAUAGUUCCAUGGGUCCCCUAUGGCCAUAAAAUAUAAAAAAUACAAAGGUCCUUUUGUAAAUGCUUUUUCA